GAUGAAGAACGUAGCGAAAUGCGAUACUUGGUGAGAAUUGCAGAAUCCCGUGAACCAUCGAGUCUUUGAACGCAAGUUGCGCCCGAAGCCAUCAGGUUGAGGGCACGUCUGCCUGGGCGUCACAUAUCGUUGCCCAAUGCCUAUUGCAGUGCAAUAGGAAUUUCUAGGGCGAAUGAUGGCUUCCCGUGAGCGUUGUUGCCUCGCGGUUGGUUGAAAAUCGAGUCCUUGGUAGGGUGUGCCAUGGUAGAUGGUGGUCGAGUUAGAACGAUACCGAUCAUGUGCAUGCUCCCCAAAAUAUGGCCUCUAUGACCCACAUGCGUCUUUUGACGCUCAUGACGAGACCUCAGGUCAGGCGGGGCUACCCGCUGAAUUUAAGCAUAUCAAUAAGCGGAGGA
This 395-nucleotide unclassified non-coding RNA is filed under the name soil metagenome. RNAcentral describes it as "partial contains 5.8S ribosomal RNA, internal transcribed spacer 2, and large subunit ribosomal RNA". The stretch from base 1 to 122 matches the Rfam family "5.8S ribosomal RNA", at positions 35 to 154 of the family's 154-position model. The record is from RNAcentral.